AGUGAACGCUGGCGGCAGGCCUAACACAUGCAAGUCGAACGGCAGCACAGUAAGAGCUUGCUCUUACGGGUGGCGAGUGGCGGACGGGUGAGGAAUACAUCGGAAUCUACUUUUUCGUGGGGGAUAACGUAGGGAAACUUACGCUAAUACAGCAUACGACCUACGGGUGAAAGCAGGGGAUCUUCGGACCUUGCGCGAUUGAAUGAGCCGAGGUCGGAUUAGCUAGUUGGCGGGGUAAAGGCCCACCAAGGCGACGAUCCGUAGCUGGUCUGAGAGGAUGAUCAGCCACACUGGAACUGAGACACGGUCCAGACUCCUACGGGAGGCAGCAGUGGGGAAUAUUGGACAAUGGGCGCAAGCCUGAUCCAGCCAUACCGCGUGGGUGAAGAAGGCCUUCGGGUUGUAAAGCCCUUUUGUUGGGAAAGAAAAGCAGCAGGUUAAUACCCCGCUGUUCUGACGGUACCCAAUGAAUAAGCACCGGCUAACUUCGUG
Molecule: ribosomal RNA, 492 nt
Filed under: uncultured bacterium
Lineage: Bacteria
Description: partial 16S ribosomal RNA
Rfam family: Bacterial small subunit ribosomal RNA
Source: RNAcentral